CAUCCCUGCAGGCACCAACGGUGUUUGUAAGAGCCUCUUGCUCUGGUGUAAGCAGUGGCUGAAAUACAGGGGGUUGCUGUGCUGUAUGUGGGGGGAUGAUGGGUGUUGAAUGCAAUGUUACGCUGUACUGGCACACAGACAGUAUCUUGCAGUUUCAUGCAGGCUGCUCUCCUGUCUAGUUCUGUGUUUCCUAGUGCAGAACACAGCCUCAUCUUUUAAGCAAGACUUGUCGCUUGAACUGCUGCUAGAGGCAUACCAGUUAAAAGAAAAAUAUUUAGCAUCUCCUCGUCUCUGCAUAUGCUUUUUGCCUUCUGGUCUUUCACAUCCGAGACAAGAAGCUCUCGCUGCAUAUUUUCUUUCCAUGUCGGCUAGAAAUAGGCUCAGCUGCUCUAAUUCCUGCACCGCUGACGGGGCAGCGUGUUGCUAUAGAGAUCUGCCAUCCUCUGAAGAGCAGAGUCAGACAGCUCUGCAGUCACAGCCUGCUGCUGAGGAGCUCACUGAAUGAACACAGACGCUGCCCUUCUUCAUCGUGGCUGGCUGGUUUGAAGCAGCACUUAGUCAGACAUGGAGUUACCAGGCUGGGUCGUAGCUGUAGUUGAAGAACUGUAGAUUUGGGGGUUUGGGGGGGUUUUGGUUGGGUUUUGGUUGGAUUUUGGUUGGGUUGUGGGGUUUUUUCCUUCUGGAGCACAGCUGGCUUUAUCCCUUUGCUUGUCUGUGCUUGCAUCUGUCAGAUGUCCUGGUGAGGCAUAUUGUGGAUUGGGAAUUGCUCAGUUCUAUCCCCUGCUUAACCAGUUACCAGCCUAUAACCCAAUAUAAGCUCCUUACAACUUUCACACAUUAACCCAGAUACGUUUGUGCCUGGUGGGCUCCCGAGAACACAGAACCUCACCCCCAUGGUGAAAACCCCUGCAACAUUCCUGCUGUAUUCUUAGGAGCUCACAUAGCCCUGAAAAUGAGCUCCCUCCCUGGUGAUACAGGUCCAUAACUGAGGGAUUAGGUGACUUGUGUUUCUGGUUGGCCUUUCCACAGGCAGAAACAUUGUGCAAUGCAGGUAACAACAGUGUUUUCAUUUGCUUCAGGUAUUGUCAUCUGUGAUCCCUGCACAGCUCCAGAGAGUGGCACAGAGGGUGCUUCACAGGCUCUUCCACACAAGAGCAGCACACAGCAAAUGUCUUCUGGCAGAAUGCUUUGUGCCCUGUUGCUGUGGCAUGUUUCGUCAGCACCGAAUGAUUGUGAGACUUUGUGCUUCUCUGAUGGGGGGGAAAAAAGUCCAAAGGACAUGCCAGUAAUGGAAGUGAGUUUAACUGGUGUAUUGCAAGGAGUGUGUAAGAGAAGGGAAGGCAUUGGGUGGAGAACACACUAUUAAUAUGCAAUCCACGCUGGCCUGAAAACUUGAAAGAGGUGUCUCCUUGUGUUUGAAAAGUCUCUGCUGUUACCUCUGAGUGUAGCUGACCUGUUAAUCAGGAUCCUGUGUAUUGAAUAGACUGUCCCCUUGCUGUUACAGAAGCUGUUUGUUUGUUGUCCUGCAUGUUGUCUUGCAAGCUGCAGUGUAUGUGGAAUACACAUGGGAAGUGUUUGUGUACUGCUGGGAGCUGCAGUUUCACCUCCUCAUCCUCCUUCUGCCCUACCUGCUGCUGGCUGGGAACGUGGGCAGCUUCAUCCUCUGCUCCCGGGCCAAUCCUGGUAUAAUAAGUAAAUCAAAUCAUGCAUCUUUGGUUAAGAUUUAUGCAUAUGAUGGUGUGUUAUUUCAGAAGGGCGUCGUGUGUCCUACGUGUGACUUGGAGAAGCCAGCCAGGUCAAAACAUUGCAGUGUCUGCAGUAUGUGCGUGCAUCGGUUUGAUCACCACUGUGUGUGGGUCAACAACUGCAUUGGUGCCUCCAACACCAAGUACUUCUUCCUUUACCUCUUCACACUGACUGCCAUGGCAGCAACCACUGCAGCCAUCUCAGCAGCAUUCCUCAUCCAAGUGGUGCUGCUCUCAGGCAUGAUGCAUGGGAGUUACAUUGAUGACCAAGGGCAGGAGCGUGCUGUUGACAUUCUCUUCCUCGUUCAGCACCUUUUCUUGACUUUCCCUAGGAUUGUCUUCAUGCUUGGCUUUGUUAUUCUCCUCACCCUGGUUCUGGGUGCGUACUGCUGUUUCAAUCUCUAUUUGGCCUUAACCAACCAAACUUCCAAUGAAUGGUAUAAAUCCAGAAGACAUGGGUGUUGCCACCAUCCAACACUGCAGCCUCAUGACAGACAAGCUGUCUACAAGAACAUUUAUUCUAAGGGAGUCUGGAGGAAUUUGAUGGAAAUCUUUAAGCCUCCUGCAGUGCUGGAGAGCAAGAAGAAAACAUGAAGAUACCAGUGUUUGUAUGUGCAUUUUUAAGCUGUUUGUAAGACUUUAUUCCAGCAAUGAGGUCUGAUGCCCCACACAGCUUUUGUAAAAAGGUGACUGUAUUUCAAUGAAGUGAUUGGAAACUGUUUGCAUAAA
Strigops habroptila (Kakapo) is the source of this 2474-nucleotide RNA transcript. It is a transcript of the gene named zinc finger DHHC-type palmitoyltransferase 4, with no coding region annotated. The record is from RefSeq and is a predicted model, not a curated record. The transcript has 5 exons. Lineage: Eukaryota; Metazoa; Chordata; Aves; Psittaciformes; Psittacidae.